ACUUUAUUUCCAAUAUGUCUAUUAUUUUUAAUUCAAACCUUCUAAUUCUCAGUAUUUCAGACUGAAAAAUAAUUUUUCAGCUAACACUGUGAACAAAAAUUUAAAUAAUCACAUUUCCCUAUUCCUACAUCAUUCCAAUCCUACCCACUCAUUCCUAUGGACUCAACAGUAACAUCCUAUUACUCUUUCCUAUAAGCCAUAGGACUUAGUACGCAUACCAGCACUAGUUACACAGAGCUAUCUUAUCAGUUUGGCUUUUGUUCACACACAGCAUGUAUUUAAACUCUAGUGCUUCUUAUAAAGAAGUACACACUACUUUAUAACAUGGACUCCUGCUCUACCCAUAACUUUAUUAGGCAGCAGUGUUAAGAUUUCUUCAAGCGUGGUAUCCUGAGUGAUUCUUCCAUAUUGCAGUAUCAUAGUUCAAUUACAUAAUAAAUAUCACAUAUAAAAAUUAAUAUAUGCUCAUAAGCACUGUCAAGAUAUAAUAAUAGUUCUUUCAUGAAUAUAUUACUGUAGAAUUUACAAGGUACCUCCCUUCAAUUACCUCAUUUAAACAUCUCAACAAGCUCAGACGAUGAUAUUGCUAUAAAUUUUUAUAUUUUUUCACAAAUGACACUGAAAUUUUUAAAAGUUAACUGACUUGCUUAUUUCAAAAUUCAUGCCCUAUGAUAUAAAUAUAUCUAUUCACUUCUGUGAAAUAUUGUAAAAUAGAGAGCUAUAAGGUGUUGAUUAGAGUGUUUUUUUACAACUGUUUCUAAUAAAGGAAUGGAUAAAUAUAUUUCUAGUCAAUGGAUUAUUUUUUUAGCAAGUAAUUAAAAAUUAAAUAGGUAAAAAAAUAUUUUUACACCUGUAUCAUACAUUGAACUAGACACACAAAGCAUUCUCUCUCAUGAAAAUUACAUUCAUAUGGGGAGAGUCAGAGAUAAAAUUAAACAUAUAAAUAAGCAAGAAAAUAUCAGAAUAUAUUAAGGUCUCUGCAAAAAGCGAAAAAAGAAAAUGUGGUCAUGUGAUGAUUUUGAAAUGGUAGUUAUAGAAGUAUAUGACACAAAAAUAUUAAUUGCAAUGGCUGCUGAGUGACAUGUCAAAGUGAUUAUGCUAAAAAUGUAAAUUGAAAUCCAUUACAGCAUUAAAUACAAAGUAUAAUGGCUAAAUAAAAUAUAAUGUACAAAAAAAGAAGACUGGAAAAAAUAUCAAUAUGUUUAUACUAUUCAUCCUAAGGCACUCUAAUUAGAGGAAUUUUUUUCUCCUCUUCUACACAAUGCUAUUGCUAUUGCUAAGUCACUUCAGUCAUGUCCGACUCUGUGUGACCCCAUAGACGGCAGCCCACCAGGCUUCCCCAUCCCUGGGAUUCUCCAGGCAAGAGUACUGGAGUGGGGUGCCAUUGCCUUCUCCGUCUACACAAUGAGAAUAAUUAUAAUUUUGAAAUAGCGUAAAAGUCAACCAGCUUGUAUAUGGAAGAAAAGUAUUCAAACUCAAAUCUUCUAGACCAGAAUCUAUUAUUAUUUAUGCCACACAAAGUUUCCUAUGAGGGAAUGAAAACUGGUAGAAAUGUGCUUAUUUCAUAUAAAAAUAGCAAUAAUAAUAUCAAUAAAACAGGUUGUCACAGAAUCAAAGGUAUGAGCAUAUGAAUGAAAUUAACAGACAGGCACCAUUUUUGCUUCAAAUCUGGCAAGUUUUUCAUUGUCUUAAAUUUGCUAGUCUUUCAACAUUUACCAAGUUUUUCAGUCAGAGCUUCAUUUCAUAAUUUUUUAAAAAUUUAAAAUGAGUAAAAUCUGGAAAGUGAGUGAAGUACAGCAAUAUUAUUGUACAGUCCUAUGACACAUAUACUGGUGAUGGUAUAGAACAAUAACUAUACUCUAUCAGGUUCCUUCAUGUGCUUCUAAUCCCAGAUACCUCUCUUCCCAUUAUAGACACCCUUCCCAGAAGAAGUCACUAUUUUUAAUUCAGUUGCAAUGUAUUAAUUUUGCCAGCUUUUUAAUUUCAUAAAAAAUAAUAUUAUGCAAUGUUAUUUUUUGUGCUGCUUCUUUCACUCAGUUAUAUUUUUAAUAUUCAAGUAUUUUAAUGAAGUAUUUUAUUUUCAUUACUAUUUAACAUUAUACAGUGUAUACCACAGCUUAUUUAUACAUUAUACUUUUAAUGGGCAAUUAGAUUAUUUCCAGUUUGGCCCUUCAAUGAAUAAAGUUGUUAAGAAGCUGUCAGUACUUGUUUUUAGUGGAUAUAUGUCCUCUCUUCUCUGGGAUUUAUAUGUACAUGGAAUAACAGACUUCUCAGGUGGCUCAGUCUGCCAAUGCAGGACACCUGAGUUUGAUCCCUGGGUAGGGAAGAUCACCUGGAGGAGGAAAUAGCAAGUCAUUCCAGUAUUCUUGCCUGGGAAAUCCCAUGGAGAGAGAAGACUGGCGGGCUACCGUCCAUGGGGUCAGAAAUAGUCCAACACGAUGUAGCAACU
Molecule: long non-coding RNA, 2449 nt
Organism: Bos taurus (domestic cattle)
Lineage: Eukaryota; Metazoa; Chordata; Mammalia; Artiodactyla; Bovidae
Source: Ensembl